UACGAAGGGUGCAAGCGUUACUCGGAAUUACUGGGCGUAAAGCGUCUGUAGGUGGUCAAAUAAGUCAACUGUUAAAUCUUGAGGCUCAACCUCAAAAUCGCAGUCGAAACUAUUAGACUAGAGUAUAGUAGGGGUAAAGGGAAUUUCCAGUGGAGCGGUGAAAUGCGUAGAUAUUGGAAAGAACACCGAUGGCGAAGGCACUUUACUGGGCUAUUACUAACACUCAGAGACGAAAGCUAGGGUAGCAAAUGGG
Molecule: ribosomal RNA, 253 nt
Filed under: uncultured bacterium
Lineage: Bacteria
Description: partial 16S ribosomal RNA
Rfam family: Bacterial small subunit ribosomal RNA
Source: RNAcentral